AUUAUUUUUUUUUAUCUUUGAUAUUUUUAAUCUUUUAAUUUAAAAUAAAAUAUAUUUUUAAAAAAUAUUAUUUAAAGGCUCGUGGGCUGGGCUUGGGUCUCAUCUAUAGGAGUCGCGUAAUCUGCAGUAGCCUUAGCUUUAACCCGGCCCUGCCCAUUGACCAGUCAAAGCCCAUCAGGACCGACCCAAGCCCGGCCCAUUGACAACCCUUAAGACCACACUGAUAACACCACAAUUAAUAAUUAAAAGGACAAAGUAAGAAAAAUGACAAAUAAUUUAGAGGAUAAAAUUAAAAUUGCCUCAACAUUAUUAUUUUGAUAUGUCAAUCAAGCACAUAACAUCACAUAAUAAGCAUCACCAUAAAUAAAAGAUACGAGCACACACGGGAACAACAAUUCUUACGAGAAAAAUUUAUCCACGGCAUAACUUCACCUUCAAAGUUAGACGCACUCUUGUUUGUGGAAGUCUUAUUCAGUUAUCAUUUCUUUUUGUUUAGUUUUCCCGUGUAUUCUAUUCCUUUUAAGUUGUUCUGUUACUACUUAUUUUUGUACUUAUAGCCAUAUUAUUUUAUAUGAUGUUCUUUUUUGCCAAAAAGAGGUCACUGUUAAGUCACCAAUUAUCCUAAAAGCUUAAGUUAGUAGGAAAUGGGUUUAACAACAUAUAUCAAGCAUCCAACACCCUUACUCGUGUGCAACCCUCAUGUGCACCCCCAUCUUGCAUGUAGAAAUGUAAACAUUCAGACAUCGAGCGAAACUGAACUCAAAGGGAAGAAACAAAAUGCAAAUGACAAAAAAAGUCAAAACGUAAGGACUUAAACCCAAGGCCUCUCAAAAACCAAAACUCUAACAUCAUGCAUCAUUAAUUAUCUCAGAACUUAAGCUAUUAGGAGAAAGACCCAAUAACAUAUAUCAAGCUAUACAACAAUCAUACUAACUCCAUUUGCAAGAGCUCUACUAUCAACCUUAUCUUGUCUAUUAUCAUCGCUACCACGUGGCUCCAAUCAAAACUAUCUAGCUUGUUGGUAAGGUCAACCCAAUGCACUAGGGUUUUGUAUGUGCAAAUUAGUUUCCUUUUGUUGAGGUAUUUACAUGAUCAUGUCCUUUUUGAGAUAUGUUUGUUUUAUUUCUUCCGUGUUUUUGGAAUGGAUACAUCUUUUUGUAUAAUUUUUGCUUUCAAUAAGAUUUCAUCGUUGUUGUCAAAAAGGAUACACAGGGUAAAUAAGUAAAGUAUCUAUUAGCAGCCAUUUAAAAAAAAUUACACCAACAGCCCUUGUAAUUUGCUGAAAAUAAAACAUACAUCCCAUGGUAUCAGAAAUUGCACUAUAUGCAACACUUUGAACAUGCAGUUAGGAGAUAUAACAAUAUUUGGUGGUGUCAGGUAAACAAAUUUUGUAAUAUCUUAAAAUGUUUAUGGUUUUCGCAUUAAAAGAUGAUUCAGCAAAGUAAGGGAAAGAUUGAUGCAACACUUCAUUUGUGCCACUCACACACUGUCAAAUAAAGUCUACUAGCAGAGAUCAGAGUGUAAGAGAUUUACUAACGAAAUGUGGAAAUGUUAUAUAUAUACAUAUAUAUAUGUAUGUAUACAUGUAUAUACGUGUAUAUAUAUAUAUAUGCACACACUUAUAUAUUUGUAUAUAUAUUAUCGACAAAUCACAGGGUGAUCAGUGGAUACUCGCAUCCAAUGGCAUCAUUCUCCAACCAACAGUGUACCUGUUCCAAAAAAAGAAAAAAGAAAAACAAGUACAUGCACCACAGGACUGGAUUAUAAAAGUAGGUGCAAGGAGCUCAUGUACCAGAAAAAGAAAAAAUGCAAGGUGAUCCCCCUACAUGCUGAAAGUCGUUCCUUCUCGUUCUUUUUUUUGGGGAGGGUUACAAAAAAGUUCAAAACAGUUGUUCACUUUUCAAGUCUAAUAUCCUCAGCUACACAGAAAUAGUAUUCUCAGGAUGUAUAACUAAAUAGAUAUUCUGGGGACCAAAAAUCAUUGCCUUCGUCAAGACUUAGUUGCAUGACGCGGGGCGGGGGGGCGGGAAGCGAGAUUAUAGAAGCUCAUAGUUUGGGUAGCGCCGCGAGAGCAUGUAUGAAAAAUUUAUAAAAUAUCAUAUCUACUAUCAAGAGGAAAAAAAUCAACUUUAUGUCCCACUUGCCGCAAACAAAACCUAAUCAAUGGGUGGGAAGACCAUUUAUUUUUUGUUUUAAUCAUUUUUUGAUGAUUGGGGGGUCCAAAUGUAUAAUUAAGAAACUUUGUAAGUUAAAAUGAAAAACACUUAUAAAGGUGAAGGAGUUGAAGCGUAAUUAAGGGUUUAAAAAAACCCAAAUCAAGCGACGUCACUUCACUUUUCUCUCUCGACUCUCUCUCUCUCGCAACGACGCAAGUCACAACAACACCAGCCACCAUUGCCGCGACGCCAGCCACCACCAACCACAACAAAUCCCUCUUUCUGCGUUCACGGACCAUCGGAGACCCGGAGGCCAGACCCAGAUCUGAAGCUUGAAGACCCAAGCGAUCAAAAUCCCAGAUCUGAAGCAUGAGAGUACGGACCGUCGCAACAGGUACGCUUCCAUCACUGUUGGGAACGAAUCUCUAACCAGAUGGGCACGUUUCCGUCGCGCUUCUGAGGAAGAAGUGCCAAUUCGCGGUUCGUGGGGGGAUCCGCCACCCCCAUGCGCGAUUCCUGCAACUAAGGUCAAGAUAUAGGAUUAUACUUACGAACUUCUCCAAAAUACCCAUUCUUGAGACAUGGUCAAAUACUUCUACAACUAUAUGUGUUUAUGUUCAAAUAUGAAAUAUUAACCUCAUGUCGAAGCAAGAGCAAAAGUAGGGCCCUAAUUAUCCAUAAAUUUUCGAAGGCUAUCAUCUCACAAUUAAGGUGGUAGAGAACCAACCAAACGAAAACUUUUAUUAAAAUUAAAAGGAUUACGAAAUAUAGCAAAGUGGGAAAAGUGCUUCAUUACUAAAAGAGCAUAUCACUUAAUUAACCAAUCAUAAGCUACCCAAACCCAACAAAGAAAGUUGGCAAGCUACCAACCAGUAACCCCCACCCCACCAAAAAAAAAUUGUGCAUCUCGCCUAACAAUACAUAUGUAUGAGUUACACAUCAAGGCUUCAAAUACAAUCAAAAGAAAUAAUAAACAGACCAAAGAACACCACCAGACUGACCCCAUCUUCUUGAUAAAUGGCAUCAUAACUAAACUUUAAAUGGCGCAAAUGCUUCAUGUCAGGUCAAAAUUCAUAAUGACAAUGAAUCCCAUUGAACAACCUUCUAAAAAAUUCUACAGACAUCCAUGUCCCCUAGCAGUUGAUUUUACUAUCUUCUACAUCAAAUGUCAAUGACACCAAAGCAUUGGCUGCAUACAUACUUCUAUUUUACAUGACUUCUAAAUUUGUUUUUUGUCAGAAACCGGCAUGUUUAGUUCGAUUAAGGAAAGUAGUCAAGAUAGUAUGGCAAUUCACAAGACUCUAAUUUUAUGCAUAGAAUGCCCUACGUUAGUUUGUCAAUAUUAUUUUAACCAAAAAAUAAAAUAUCAAAUAAUAUUCAAGAAAUAAGAUAUCUAACCGAGCCUUGUGCUCUUGGACAUGAGAAAUUGAAGAAUCCGGCACUAAGAAACACCCGCACCCAAUACGGUACCCAAGUCUAUGUAACGUCAACACCACUUUCAUAGUUUGAUAUCUUUAAUAUGGCUGAUAAGAUUUUACUGAGAAGAGGAUAUUUGUCUUGUCCAGGUACACACAUCUUUCAUUGCUAGGGUGGAUUCAAGCUCCUUUCCCACAUAACAGCUCUCACCUAUUGCCAUCAAACCAAAGUUUGUUUAUUGUGCAAGAAUAGUGCGACAAUGAAAAGGGAAAAAAAUAACACUAUAAGGUAUAAUACAUGCGAUAGAAUUGCUGAUAACAUAAGAAUAACAGAGCCAUAAUAAAUAACUAUAGUAAAUUAAAGCUGGGGGCAUUUGCUUAUAAACACAAUACACAAGAAAUGUAGCUCAUAACAAAUGAAGCACCUCCCAUAGAACAUCUCUUUCAUCAUACAAUCAACAAAGCAAUGGUUGACUGAAGGAACGUUUCUGUUUAUGACAGUCGAAGUUAGUUCAUUAGCUUUUGAUUUAUAACUAGUCACAAACCAAGCUUAUCAAAACUUACUUUAAAACCUUGGCAUCCCUCUAUUCAACAUUUGUUACCUCUAAUAAUUAGUAAAAACAAAAUAUAAGUAUUUUAGUAAUAACAAA
Molecule: long non-coding RNA, 4221 nt
Filed under: Actinidia chinensis (golden kiwifruit)
Lineage: Eukaryota; Viridiplantae; Streptophyta; Magnoliopsida; Ericales; Actinidiaceae
Description: long non-coding RNA (ACHI_LNC008666)
Source: RNAcentral